Long non-coding RNA from Cyprinus carpio carpio, 1192 nucleotides. The record is from Ensembl. NCBI's taxonomy places the organism in Eukaryota, Metazoa, Chordata, Actinopteri, Cypriniformes, Cyprinidae.
GGCAGGACUGAAGGUCCCACAACAAUCUGUUCUCACUCUCUUUCUCUCACACACUCAAGUCCUUGUGUGCCAUAUGGAUGCAGAGCUGCUCCUGUCAGAUCCUGAGAUGAAUGUGGAUGAAAGACGAGAUCGAGCAGAACCUGUUGAGAGAGAAUGGUUCCAGGGCUUCGGAGAGUGGGAGAAUCAGUACCUGUACAGAUGAAGAAGCAGAAAAGCUCUGAAGCCAGAAGACAGAAAUACCGAUAAAAACAAGAAUGAGCACAAACAUCGGUAUGACAAACACAAGGUGGAAAGAUUAGACGACAGAGAAAGUGAUAAGAAGAGAUGCCCAAGUUACUUCUCUUUUGUCUGACAAGUAAGUGAAUUAAUUACUGUGUUCGUUCUCUAAAACUAGUGACAGGAGAAAUUAAGAAUUUUGAGAUUUUGAAUCAGUUGCUUCGAAAAAUGACUCACUGUUUGAAGCGCUCAAAACGCCACACGCUGGUGACUCCUGGUGGUCAAAAUAGUAGAAAUACAACAAAACUCAGGCCAAACAUGCAUAAAAACAAACCCAUUGACCCUUCGCCAGGAGUUUGAAUGACAGGCGAUCUGUCCAAUCAUAACGCAGAAUCUGUUAUUUUGUCUGACAAACAAAACAGAAAGGAGAGUAGAUUAAUGUCAGUGAACUUUGAAAAAUGGUGUGUAUUGAUGUCUUUCUGCGGGUUAAACAAGAUUCCUUCUGUUGUUCAUUCAUGUUUAUUUUGUGCUAUAACUAGUAGUAAAGAGUAAGAGAUGAUCGGUUCACGUGCUGCUACAGCGAUCUGUCACGACACAUUAAAGUGCCACAAAUCAGGUUUUAUUUUUUGAAUUUCUUAAAGAAAAUGACAUGAUUGGAAAGCUGAGACUUUGUUUCAUGCCAGAAGUAUCCUGCUCUGUCUUGUCUGUUGGCACAAUGUGUUUUUCACUGCAUGAGAACAUGAUGUGUGGUGUGAGAGCGCCAUGGCUGGUCAUAUGUAGCAACAGUAACGAAGGAGGGCAGGUCUUUGUGAAGAGUCGAUUGCUUCACAAAAUGAUCCACUGUUUUGAAACGCCACACGCUGGUGACACCUGCUGGUCAGAACGGUGCAAAUGUAAUGAAAACUCAAGCGAGCAUACAUAAAAACAGCUUUAACAAAACUCAUUGCAAAUGUUUAAUUGAAAGUUCAAUCCAUGA